RNAcentral lists this ribosomal RNA (242 nucleotides) under uncultured bacterium. Its description in RNAcentral is "partial 16S ribosomal RNA". It matches the Rfam family "Bacterial small subunit ribosomal RNA", at positions 116 to 353 of the family's 1533-position model. The record is from RNAcentral.
CGUGGGUAACCUGCCUUAUAGUGGGGGAGUAGCCUUUCGAAAGGAAGAUUAAUACCGCAUAAGAUUGUAGUGUCGCAUGAUAUAGCAAUUAAAGGAGCAAUUCGCUAUAAGAUGGACCCGCGUCGCAUUAGCUAGUUGGUGAGGUAAUGGCUCACCAAGGCGACGAUGCGUAGCCGACCUGAGAGGGUGAUCGGCCACAUUGGGACUGAGACACGGCCCAGACUCCUACGGGAGGCAGCAUG